UCGAUUCAAAUUACCAAUAUAUUCAAAACAUAAGUUACAAACCCUAACAACAGGCGAAAAUUACAACGAAAGUUACAAGAAGGGUAAAGUGACAGUAAAAAAGGUGGGUGAAAGUAGUAGAGGAAAGAAGAGGGGAAAGAAAAGGCAUUCCAGGUGGCCCGGGGGAUUACGGCACCACAUUAACAGAUGAUGAGGAAGAAACGAACCCCGGACCACGUUCCCGCAGAGGCCUGAGGACAGGCGAGCAACCACCCGAAGACGACCCCAUCGGCCGAAGAGGCCUGAGAACGGGAGAGGACCGCCCAGAGGUGGACCUAACGGUUCGAUUUCGGAGACCUCGACAGGAAAUGACGUAAGUCAUUAGCCGGAAGGGACGAAGACCCACGGGAACCACGGUGGCCACACGACUGACGACGACGACCGAAACUUUCGACCGGAGCGAAAGUAGACGCGACGUGCAGAGAGCAGCAGAAGCUCGACGUCACAGUGGUAGUAGCGCUUACGGCCCCCAACCAGAGAUUUCAGUCUUUAUCCCCGUACCCGAAAUGGUCGAGGAAGACCGGGUCGGGAAAGUAAGGGAUAUUAGGAAAAUCCUACCGGUGAAUCUCACCCAUACCUCUGAUCUCACCCUUAAUUUUUAUUCGUUUAUUUUAUUAUAAAAA
RNAcentral lists this long non-coding RNA (662 nucleotides) under Zostera marina. RNAcentral's name for it is "long non-coding RNA (ZMAR_LNC004119)". Lineage: Eukaryota; Viridiplantae; Streptophyta; Magnoliopsida; Alismatales; Zosteraceae. The record is from RNAcentral.